RNAcentral lists this transfer RNA (73 nucleotides) under Treponema sp. RNAcentral describes it as "tRNA-Pro". It matches the Rfam family "tRNA". From Rfam's summary of the family: Transfer RNA (tRNA) molecules are approximately 80 nucleotides in length. The record is from RNAcentral. Lineage: Bacteria; Pseudomonadati; Spirochaetota; Spirochaetia; Treponematales; Treponemataceae.
CGGAGGGUUGGAUAGUGGUUAAUCCGCCAGUUUUGGGAACUGGAUCUCGGGGGUUCGACUCCCCCCUCUCCGA